Molecule: long non-coding RNA, 1039 nt
Filed under: Macaca fascicularis (crab-eating macaque)
Lineage: Eukaryota; Metazoa; Chordata; Mammalia; Primates; Cercopithecidae
Description: lncRNA (ENSMFAG00000061407.1)
Source: RNAcentral
UUUUUUUUUUUUUUUUUUGUAACACAACAAAGUGAUUUUUGAUGCUUUUCUAGUUUGUCAGAGGGCUCUGAGGCUAUACAGAAGCAGCUUUAGUGAACAGAGGAGAGCGAGACGUGUCUUUGUGCUUCACAAUGAUUGCAAUGCCAGAGUGAUAUCCCAGGGGAGCUGUCAAACAGCUUGACAGCAAUUCUAGCAAGAAGUGGUAGAAACACAAUUUUGCAAUAAUGAUCAUACGUUUUUUGAAAUUUUCCUUUAUCCUUGAAAUGCCUUGUGUUGUUGAAAAUCUAUUCAUUACUGUUCAGUCAUCUGUAGCGAGUCAUCCCUUCAGGUCUCUGUACCCGGAAGUUACAGCCCUGGGAGAAUUUUGGCAGAGAGACAAAGGCUCCUAGGCACAGUGCGGGAGUCAGAAAGGUACAAGUAAAUAGCAGCUCCAAGGAGUUAGAUUUUUUUAAAAAAAUAAUAAAAGGAAAGGAAGUGAUAAGAAAUCAUCUUCCUCAAAGGGGCUUUAGUUUUCUGAAAGCAGGCACCAUAGCUCUUUAAUAUUUUUACCGUGCACAUCUCUGGUGCUUUCAUUUUCUUUUUCCUCUAAUCUCUUCCAUGCAUUUCCUUCAUUAAUUAUCCCUUUUCUCUCCAGGAUGUUCAACUUCUCCCUGUCCCUACUGCCUCCUUCACCUCGACCUAUCAAGAUGUACAAGUUUCUUACAUCCCCAGAAACUUCCAGCUACCCUCAGAUGCUCACUCUCUUCCCUUCUCUUUGUAGCCAAGGGACGAGCCUAUUCCAAUGCUACCCAAAGCAUGGGCUGCGGACCAGGAGCAUCAGCAUCCCAAGGGAGCCAGAUGUGAAAUGCAGUUCUCAGGCUCACCCAGACCUACUGAAUCCGAAUCUCUGUGGUUGGGGGUCCAAAAAUCUGUUUCAACACACUCUCCAUAUGAUGCUUACGCACAUUGGGGUCUGAAAAGCACUGCCUCUACUUCCUGUCUCCUUUCACCACUUUGGGUGAUCUUCCUCCGUCCCUUUAAGGCUUGCACCUUCCCCAGG